UUUCACCUGGCGCUUUGGGAAAUUCCAGGCUCCAAUGCUGCUCAUAAAUCGCAGAGGCAUAGAUGAUGAGACUCCCACCGAAGCAACGGUGUGGGACUAUUAAGUACAAGAAAAGAUACAAUAGGGAUAACCAAGCCACAUUCACUUUUCCAUAAAAGAUCUCAGCUUCAAUGAAAAAUCAUUUCUGGAGGAAAAAUGUUGUGCUGGAAAAUAGUGACCAGCUCUCACAAUCAUGGCUGAAAAUCCAAAUACACCCAGAUGUGCUGUAAGCCCUUGUUAUCUUUGGGGCAGCCUGAGUUUUUGUGGCGUCCUCAUGUGACGGCUUUUGGAAUGGAGAAAGAACGAAGAGCUGUUGUUUUGCUGGGUUAUCAGAGGAACAAAAACAUCCCUUUUCUGGUGACCUAGAUUUGGGGUCCCUGUGAAGAGGAACCCCCCCAGCCUGAGUUUGGUGUGCGUUACCUUGGCCAGAGCUUGGCUCAGCAAACCAAGCCCAGACAGCUCCUGCCAGGGCCCAGGGCUCACCCGUGCCACCCGGCCAGGCACAAACACAGCAGAGGGGUGCCUGCUGCUGAGGUUAUAGCCCACUUCCCUUCUGCUUGGUACAGCAUCUGCUGGGGGUGAAACCACUGCCCUGAGCGACAGUCACCCCCCGUCCGGGUGAGCGGACAGGGUGGUUCUCUUCUUCUCCUCCCAGCUCCACGCCGCAGUGGGAUGCAGUCCCUGGGACCAUCUGGUGCCUCUUCCUCUCUCUGGCUGACUUCAGUUCUCAGCUGUCAGCCAAGUGGAGUGCUUCAAGCCUGUGUGCUUCUCUAAUGUUUCUUCCUUGCAUGAAUGACAUUAGCCACUGGGAAAAUAUCUGCUUCUUGGUUAGGACACUGGGGAUGCUCACUGGCAGCUCGGAUGACAACCAUGUGUUGCGAGUCAACAGCUUCAGCGAGUACACAGCAGGAAAGGAACUGAGGUUGAGGCGUGGUGGUUCUCCCUUGCAACUGCAGCUCCUUGGCCUUAGGAGAAAGGACCUACACCUCAUCCUACUGGGCAUCAGGACCCUGAAGCACUGAUCCUGCAAGGACUGCAGCCUUAAAAUGGAGAAGAGCUACACCACCAGGUUGGGGCAAAGUUUGGCCCUGCUGCCAGACCACACUCAAGACAAACCAAAGUGAAUAAAUAAAAACAAAGUCCAGAAGUCAGAAGCUUCUGAAAUUGCCAGCCUUGAGUUAACACUGCACUUCUGGACUGAAACAAAUGAUGUUGCAAGCAGACUUUAAACAUGCCGAGAAUCAGUUCGUACUGAAUGUAUCACGCUUAAUGCAUUGAAAAUAUUUCCUAUUGUGAGUUCUGAUGAAAACCUUG
This is a long non-coding RNA of Oxyura jamaicensis (ruddy duck), 1353 nucleotides long. RefSeq lists it as uncharacterized. The record is from RefSeq and is a predicted model, not a curated record. The transcript has 3 exons. NCBI's taxonomy places the organism in Eukaryota, Metazoa, Chordata, Aves, Anseriformes, Anatidae.